UGAGGAAUAUUGGACAAUGGGUGAGAGCCUGAUCCAGCCAUCCCGCGUGAAGGACGACGGCCCUAUGGGUUGUAAACUUCUUUUGUAUAGGGAUAAACCUACUCUCGUGAGAGUAGCUGAAGGUACUAUACGAAUAAGCACCGGCUAACUCCGUGCCAGCAGCCGCGGUAAUACGGAGGUGCAAGCGUUAUCGGAUUUAUUGGGUUUAAAGGGUCCGU
This 218-nucleotide ribosomal RNA is filed under the name uncultured bacterium. Its description in RNAcentral is "partial 16S ribosomal RNA". It matches the Rfam family "Bacterial small subunit ribosomal RNA", at positions 355 to 572 of the family's 1533-position model. The record is from RNAcentral.